Long non-coding RNA from Benincasa hispida (wax gourd), 1470 nucleotides. RefSeq lists it as uncharacterized. NCBI's taxonomy places the organism in Eukaryota, Viridiplantae, Streptophyta, Magnoliopsida, Cucurbitales, Cucurbitaceae. The record is from RefSeq and is a predicted model, not a curated record.
GCAGCAGCUGUCAUGGGAUUUAAUUAAUUAAAUUUUUUUUUUUCAAAAAAAGGCGGUAGUAUAAAAAUUGGAGAGGAACUGAUCGGUGCUCUAAAAUUUGUUGUGCCAUUUCUUAUUUUCUUUGACUACAUCACAAACGAGAAAAAAGAAGGUUGAAAGAUUUUGCUAAAAUUCAGAAGCUAAACUGGUUGAUUAAGGAGAUUCUGAGCAAUUGAGGGGUAUACCCGUGGAGAAUUUAAAGAAUUUCUCUCAAACCAGUCGAGCAAUUGAAAAAUUUUCUUCAUGAAAGUUGAAGAGGGAAUUUUAUGGGCUGAUGAAGGAGAAGGAAUUUGGGGACCCAGGAGUGUUUGACCGAUUCCAGGAGAUUCAGGGCGAUUGGAGGCUCUAAACUUUGGGGCCAAGUUCAAUUAGGAGAGGCUUAUAUACCUAAAGGAUGGAGUUGGAAAUUGUGAGUGACAAGUUUUUAUAAAUGGUUUUUAGUGCAUAGUCAAUUUAACAUGUUUUUUUAUACCAUGAUUUACUCAACACAUACUUUGAAUAUAUGUUGAUCACAUGAUCCAUAAUUUUAAAGACUGAAAUUUUAUACGUGAAAUUGACAUUUUCAAUAAGCUUAUGCCCAUAUUAUGAAAUAUGUUGAAUUUCUACAAAGAAAUUUAUAAGCAUGAUUAAUGUUUAUAAGGCACUAUGUAAUGACAUGUAGCUUUGAAGUUCAAUCAUUUUAUCAUUGAGUAUGUUGUUUUAUGUUUAUAGAAUGUUUUAAUAAUUUGUGCCUUGUACAAAAGCCAUACUCCAAAUGUUGGUACUGAAGGUAUGGUAAGGUACCCAGAUUUCCAAUUAUGCUAGGGAUCCCUGAUACCAAAGAUAUUGUUAAGUAGUCAGGAUCCUAUUUAGUUCUAUGUGCACGUAUGAUCUAUGUUAUCGACAUUGACGAGAUCGAGCAAAACAGCUCUAUCUCAACUAAGGAUAUUAGGAAUUGAGCAAAAGAGGUUUCCCUCAUGUUCAGACAAAGGAGUAGAGGUGCUUUACAAAAAAAUGAUGAUGAGUUUUAUUCGAAGGUUUUUUAUGUACUAUAAUUCCAUGUUGAGCAUUUGUAAGCUCAUUCUUUCAAAUGUUUUCUCCCCCUAGGUAGCGGCCGACGCCUCGAGGCCUAGUAUGAAGGAACCUUGUUAGGAUUUUUUAGUGAAAGCGGAUUGUCCUAAUUUUCUCAGAUUUCACAGAAUGAAAGUUUUCCAGAAAAAAAUAUUCAUUUAAUUACAUAAUUACAGCACGUUGGAAAAACAAACAGAAGAUGAUGAAUUUGGGUUUAGAACCCUUACUUUUGAAGAAUCCAAUCUUCACGUUAAAUUCUCUUAAAAAAGGGCACCACCACAAUGGCUACCACAUUAUUCUUAGGGAUGAGAACCCAUGAGGAGUGCGUUCUGGCUAUUUUUUAUUUUGAGAGGGAAGGGAUUUUCUUAGUAGAGAGGAGGA